UCAGCCUCCGUCUAUAAAUAAAAGUCCAUAGGGGAUCCCUAAAUUAUGAAACAUCUUCUCUCCUUAUACGCUCAUUCCUUCCCAUCUAUGUUAGAGAUCUAAUUUGAGCAUCGAAGAAUCUCCAUCGAAGACAACUCCGAUCAUGGACUUUUUUUGUAAAUCCUGCCACCGCCAUCUAGCCAUCGUCAACCUGUAGUCUCCACCAAACUCCAACCAAUCCUACUUUAAGAUGGAUUUCUAUCACAACAACCUUCAUCAUGCCAUCUCAUUGAUGAAGCAGCUUUCGAUGAUGUAUAGAUCCUUUUUAAUCUAGGUAUUAAAGAAAAAUAAUAUAAAACUUUAACCAAUUUUUUC
This 354-nucleotide long non-coding RNA is filed under the name Elaeis guineensis (African oil palm). RNAcentral describes it as "long non-coding RNA (EGUI_LNC017458)". The record is from RNAcentral. Lineage: Eukaryota; Viridiplantae; Streptophyta; Magnoliopsida; Arecales; Arecaceae.